CCUACGGGAGGCAGCAGUGAGGAAUAUUGGUCAAUGGGCGGAAGCCUGAACCAGCCAAGUCGCGUGCAGGAAGACGGCCCUACGGGUUGUAAACUGCUUUUGUACGGGAACAACGCCCCUUACGUGUAGGUCUUUGCAUGUACCGGAUGAAAAAGGACCGGCUAAUUCCGUGCCAGCAGCCGCGGUAAUACGGAAGGUGCGGGCGUUAUCCGGAUUUAUUGGGUUUAAAGGGAGCGUAGGCGGCAUGUCAAGCGUACGGUGAAAUGUCCGGGCUCAACCCGGUCCUGGCCGGGCAAACUGGCGAGCUUGAGUGCGCGGAAAGCAGGCGGAAUUCGUCGUGGAGCGGUGAAAUGCAUAGAUAUGACGAAGAACCCCGAUUGCGAAGGCAGCUUGCUGCAGCGGAACUGACGCUGAUGCUCGAAAGCGCGGGUAUCGAACAGGAUUAGAUACCCGGGUAGUC
This 460-nucleotide ribosomal RNA is filed under the name uncultured bacterium. Its description in RNAcentral is "partial 16S ribosomal RNA". It matches the Rfam family "Bacterial small subunit ribosomal RNA", at positions 338 to 795 of the family's 1533-position model. The record is from RNAcentral.